UUAGUAUGGAAUUAAUGUAUU
This 21-nucleotide non-coding RNA is filed under the name Caenorhabditis elegans. The record is from RNAcentral. Lineage: Eukaryota; Metazoa; Nematoda; Chromadorea; Rhabditida; Rhabditidae.